RNAcentral lists this ribosomal RNA (2787 nucleotides) under Salmonella enterica subsp. enterica serovar Enteritidis. Its description in RNAcentral is "partial 23S ribosomal RNA". It matches the Rfam family "Bacterial large subunit ribosomal RNA". The record is from RNAcentral. Lineage: Bacteria; Pseudomonadati; Pseudomonadota; Gammaproteobacteria; Enterobacterales; Enterobacteriaceae.
GUUGUGAGGUUAAGCGACUAAGCGUACACGGUGGAUGCCCUGGCAGUCAGAGGCGAUGAAGGGCGUACUAAUCUGCGAUAAGCGCCGGUAAGGUGAUAUGAACCGUUAUAACCGGCGAUACCCGAAUGGGGAAACCCAGUGUGAUUCGUCACACUAUCAUUAACUGAAUCCAUAGGUUAAUGAGGCGAACCGGGGGAACUGAAACAUCUAAGUACCCCGAGGAAAAGAAAUCAACCGAGAUUCCCCCAGUAGCGGCGAGCGAACGGGGAGGAGCCCAGAGCCUGAAUCAGCAUGUGUGUUAGUGGAAGCGUCUGGAAAGGCGCGCGAUACAGGGUGACAGCCCCGUACACAAAAGCGCAUGUGCUGUGAGCUCGAUGAGUAGGGCGGGACACGUGGUAUCCUGUCUGAAUAUGGGGGGACCAUCCUCCAAGGCUAAAUACUCCUGACUGACCGAUAGUGAACCAGUACCGUGAGGGAAAGGCGAAAAGAACCCCGGCGAGGGGAGUGAAAAAGAACCUGAAACCGUGUACGUACAAGCAGUGGGAGCACAGGUUUACCUGUGUGACUGCGUACCUUUUGUAUAAUGGGUCAGCGACUUAUAUUCUGUAGCAAGGUUAACCGAAUAGGGGAGCCGGAGGGAAACCGAGUCUUAAUUGGGCGUUAAGUUGCAGGGUAUAGACCCGAAACCCGGUGAUCUAGCCAUGGGCAGGUUGAAGGUUGGGUAACACUAACUGGAGGACCGAACCGACUAAUGUUGAAAAAUUAGCGGAUGACCUGUGGCUGGGGGUGAAAGGCCAAUCAAACCGGGAGAUAGCUGGUUCUCCCCGAAAGCUAUUUAGGUAGCGCCUCGUGAAUUCAUCUCCGGGGGUAGAGCACUGUUUCGGCUAGGGGGCCAUCCCGGCUUACCAACCCGAUGCAAACUGCGAAUACCGGAGAAUGUUAUCACGGGAGACACACGGCGGGUGCUAACGUCCGUCGUGAAGAGGGAAACAACCCAGACCGCCAGCUAAGGUCCCAAAGUCAUGGUUAAGUGGGAAACGAUGUGGGAAGGCCCAGACAGCCAGGAUGUUGGCUUAGAAGCAGCCAUCAUUUAAAGAAAGCGUAAUAGCUCACUGGUCGAGUCGGCCUGCGCGGAAGAUGUAACGGGGCUAAACCAUGCACCGAAGCUGCGGCAGCGACACUGUGUGUUGUUGGGUAGGGGAGCGUUCUGUAAGCCUGUGAAGGUGUGUCGUGAGGCAUGCUGGAGGUAUCAGAAGUGCGAAUGCUGACAUAAGUAACGAUAAAGCGGGUGAAAAGCCCGCUCGCCGGAAGACCAAGGGUUCCUGUCCAACGUUAAUCGGGGCAGGGUGAGUCGACCCCUAAGGCGAGGCCGAAAGGCGUAGUCGAUGGGAAACGGGUUAAUAUUCCCGUACUUGGUGUUACUGCGAAGGGGGGACGGAGAAGGCUAUGUUGGCCGGGCGACGGUUGUCCCGGUUUAAGCGUGUAGGUGUGUGUUCCAGGUAAAUCCGGUUCACUUUAACACUGAGGCGUGACGACGAGGCACUACGGUGCUGAAGCAACAAAUGCCCUGCUUCCAGGAAAAGCCUCUAAGCAUCAGGUAACAUCAAAUCGUACCCCAAACCGACACAGGUGGUCAGGUAGAGAAUACCAAGGCGCUUGAGAGAACUCGGGUGAAGGAACUAGGCAAAAUGGUGCCGUAACUUCGGGAGAAGGCACGCUGACACGUAGGUGAAGUGAUUUACUCAUGGAGCUGAAGUCAGUCGAAGAUACCAGCUGGCUGCAACUGUUUAUUAAAAACACAGCACUGUGCAAACACGAAAGUGGACGUAUACGGUGUGACGCCUGCCCGGUGCCGGAAGGUUAAUUGAUGGGGUCAGCGCAAGCGAAGCUCCUGAUCGAAGCCCCGGUAAACGGCGGCCGUAACUAUAACGGUCCUAAGGUAGCGAAAUUCCUUGUCGGGUAAGUUCCGACCUGCACGAAUGGCGUAAUGAUGGCCAGGCUGUCUCCACCCGAGACUCAGUGAAAUUGAACUCGCUGUGAAGAUGCAGUGUACCCGCGGCAAGACGGAAAGACCCCGUGAACCUUUACUAUAGCUUGACACUGAACAUUGAGCCUUGAUGUGUAGGAUAGGUGGGAGGCUUUGAAGUGUGGACGCCAGUCUGCAUGGAGCCGACCUUGAAAUACCACCCUUUAAUGUUUGAUGUUCUAACGUGGACCCGUUACCCGGGUUGCGGACAGUGUCUGGUGGGUAGUUUGACUGGGGCGGUCUCCUCCUAAAGAGUAACGGAGGAGCACGAAGGUUGGCUAAUCCUGGUCGGACAUCAGGAGGUUAGUGCAAUGGCAUAAGCCAGCUUGACUGCGAGCGUGACGGCGCGAGCAGGUGCGAAAGCAGGUCAUAGUGAUCCGGUGGUUCUGAAUGGAAGGGCCAUCGCUCAACGGAUAAAAGGUACUCCGGGGAUAACAGGCUGAUACCGCCCAAGAGUUCAUAUCGACGGCGGUGUUUGGCACCUCGAUGUCGGCUCAUCACAUCCUGGGGCUGAAGUAGGUCCCAAGGGUAUGGCUGUUCGCCAUUUAAAGUGGUACGCGAGCUGGGUUUAGAACGUCGUGAGACAGUUCGGUCCCUAUCUGCCGUGGGCGCUGGAGAACUGAGGGGGGCUGCUCCUAGUACGAGAGGACCGGAGUGGACGCAUCACUGGUGUUCGGGUUGUCAUGCCAAUGGCACUGCCCGGUAGCUAAAUGCGGAAGAGAUAAGUGCUGAAAGCAUCUAAGCACGAAACUUGCCCCGAG